RNAcentral lists this ribosomal RNA (111 nucleotides) under uncultured bacterium. RNAcentral describes it as "partial 16S ribosomal RNA". It matches the Rfam family "Bacterial small subunit ribosomal RNA", at positions 1373 to 1482 of the family's 1533-position model. The record is from RNAcentral.
CCUGAGCCUUGUACACACCGCCCGUCAAGUCAUGGGAGCUGGGAGUACCCGAAGUCCGUUUAGCUAACCGCAAGGGGGCGACGGCCGACGGUAAGACCGGUGACUGGGACU